AUUCAGUACAAACGGAAAUUUCGGGGCGAAAAGAUUACUGUGAAUUGGAUACAGACUCAUACGAUGAUUCGCAAGCUGCCCCAAAUUUCGAUGUAGUUGAGGAGACUUGAUCGAGUUCUCAAACCUAAGAAUCAAGAAAAAAUCCAAAUGCAGGUAUCAUACGACGAUGCCAAUUUUGGUUUUACUUAGUGCGGUGAUUGUUUAUAGAUGCUAAAUUUUGUGGGUGGGCUUGUCUUUUCUUGUAACUGAUAGUUCCGCAAAGGAAUUGAACGAGAAUACUGAGGAAGACCCUGAUGUUAUCGAGAUGAUUCUGCCAUGGUUCGAUGAGAAAGUAUCAGAAAAGUUAUGAAACUGUUCAAAAAUGCAUUUUCUGUUUUAUUUAUUCUUUAUAAGACUUGAACUUUAUUUCAUGCGCACGCAUAAUUAUAGAAUAACGCAGUAAAGUUGUCAUUGUGUGUGUGUGAAAUGAGUUGUCUAAACUGGGUGUGUGUUUUGCUAUGGGACGAGGUGGUAUAAUUGAGAAACUAAAAGUGGAUCAAUGCAAAGUUUAUUUGAGGAAGCACAGCAGGCAAUAGAAAUACCCUUAUACAGCGGAUUAAGAAACAUCUCGAGUAAUUUUCUUCCUCUCUUAUAUUUGAACCUCGAAUUUAUUGGUUUGGUAUUUAUUUAUCUCCUUAUAAUAAUUAAUGCUUGUGUUAUUUUCAGUGUUGUUGAUGAUGGUGUGGAGAAAAAGUAAUCGGCCUCUCUUUUUGUUUUAAUUGCAGAGGUAGAACAUUUUAGCAUUUGUGCUUGGUGAUAUCCUUUCUUAUUUCAUUCCUUUGACUUCCAUAUUUGAAGUUUCAAUCAAUGUUCUAAUACUCAAUAUCCAUAUCCGGGUAGCAAGAAUCGAAAACCAGAACAAACGCAAGAAGUCAUCAGAUUCUAUACCAAUGAACCCAGAGAAACAAGAAAACCAACCUCAGAAGCAGCAGCAGGAGAGAGAAUGCUGCCCAUGAAGAGCAGUAGCAUUCCGCAGCAGCUAGAAAGUAUGCUUGGAAAACCGAAUAAUCUUUGGUGUUGGUCAUUUUAGAGAUAUAGAACAGUGAAUGCAGUGAUGAGACAACAAUGGAUGUGUUGAUCCUUCACGAUUUUUGUAGUGAGUUUCUUUGUUUUAUAGAAAUAAAGUUUCUUUACUGUUUUUAAUUA
This 1185-nucleotide long non-coding RNA is filed under the name Olea europaea subsp. europaea. The record is from RNAcentral. Lineage: Eukaryota; Viridiplantae; Streptophyta; Magnoliopsida; Lamiales; Oleaceae.